RNAcentral lists this ribosomal RNA (257 nucleotides) under uncultured bacterium. RNAcentral's name for it is "partial 16S ribosomal RNA". It matches the Rfam family "Bacterial small subunit ribosomal RNA", at positions 524 to 778 of the family's 1533-position model. The record is from RNAcentral.
UACGAAGGGGGCUAGCGUUGUUCGGAAUUACUGGGCGUAAAGCGCACGUAGGCGGAUACUUAAGUCAGGGGUGAAAUCCCGGGGCUCAACCCCGGAACUGCCUUUGAUACUGGGUAUCUCGAGUCCGGAAGAGGUGAGUGGAAUUCCGAGUGUAGAGGUGAAAUUCGUAGAUAUUCGGAAGAACACCUGAGGCGAAGGCGGGUUGCUGGGGCUGAUACUGACGCUGAGGGCGCGAAAGCCAGGGGAGCAAAGCGGGG